AGUCGAGCGGAGAUGAGGUGCUUGCACCUUAUCUUAGCGGCGGACGGGUGAGUAAUGCUUAGGAAUCUGCCUAUUAGUGGGGGACAACAUUCCGAAAGGAAUGCUAAUACCGCAUACGUCCUACGGGAGAAAGCAGGGGAUCUUCGGACCUUGCGCUAAUAGAUGAGCCUAAGUCGGAUUAGCUAGUUGGUGGGGUAAAGGCCUACCAAGGCGACGAUCUGUAGCGGGUCUGAGAGGAUGAUCCGCCACACUGGGACUGAGACACGGCCCAGACUCCUACGGGAGGCAGCAGUGGGGAAUAUUGGACAAUGGGGGGAACCCUGAUCCAGCCAUGCCGCGUGUGUGAAGAAGGCCUUAUGGUUGUAAAGCACUUUAAGCGAGGAGGAGGCUACUGAGACUAAUACUCUUGGAUAGUGGACGUUACUCGCAGAAUAAGCACCGGCUAACUCUGUGCCAGCAGCCGCGGUAAUACAGAGGGUGCGAGCGUUAAUCGGAUUUACUGGGCGUAAAGCGUGCGUAGGCGGCUUUUUAAGUCGGAUGUGAAAUCCCCGAGCUUAACUUGGGAAUUGCAUUCGAUACUGGGAAGCUAGAGUAUGGGAGAGGAUGGUAGAAUUCCAGGUGUAGCGGUGAAAUGCGUAGAGAUCUGGAGGAAUACCGAUGGCGAAGGCAGCCAUCUGGCCUAAUACUGACGCUGAGGUACGAAAGCAUGGGGAGCAAACAGGAUUAGAUACCCUGGUAGUCCAUGCCGUAAACGAUGUCUACUAGCCGUUGGGGCCUUUGAGGCUUUAGUGGCGCAGCUAACGCGAUAAGUA
RNAcentral lists this ribosomal RNA (812 nucleotides) under uncultured bacterium. RNAcentral's name for it is "bacterial SSU rRNA". It matches the Rfam family "Bacterial small subunit ribosomal RNA", at positions 60 to 866 of the family's 1533-position model. The record is from RNAcentral.